This 392-nucleotide ribosomal RNA is filed under the name Escherichia coli. Its description in RNAcentral is "bacterial SSU rRNA". It matches the Rfam family "Bacterial small subunit ribosomal RNA", at positions 1142 to 1533 of the family's 1533-position model. Lineage: Bacteria; Pseudomonadati; Pseudomonadota; Gammaproteobacteria; Enterobacterales; Enterobacteriaceae. RNAcentral also lists the same sequence under 3 other names. The record is from RNAcentral.
AAGGAGACUGCCAGUGAUAAACUGGAGGAAGGUGGGGAUGACGUCAAGUCAUCAUGGCCCUUACGACCAGGGCUACACACGUGCUACAAUGGCGCAUACAAAGAGAAGCGACCUCGCGAGAGCAAGCGGACCUCAUAAAGUGCGUCGUAGUCCGGAUUGGAGUCUGCAACUCGACUCCAUGAAGUCGGAAUCGCUAGUAAUCGUGGAUCAGAAUGCCACGGUGAAUACGUUCCCGGGCCUUGUACACACCGCCCGUCACACCAUGGGAGUGGGUUGCAAAAGAAGUAGGUAGCUUAACCUUCGGGAGGGCGCUUACCACUUUGUGAUUCAUGACUGGGGUGAAGUCGUAACAAGGUAACCGUAGGGGAACCUGCGGUUGGAUCACCUCCUUA